AACGCGUAUGCAAUCUACCUUUUACAGAGGGAUAGCCCAGAGAAAUUUGGAUUAAUACCUCAUAGUAUAUAGACCUGGCAUCAGGAUUAUAUUAAAGUCACAACGGUAAAAGAUGAGCAUGCGUCCCAUUAGCUAGUUGGUAAGGUAACGGCUUACCAAGGCUACGAUGGGUAGGGGUCCUGAGAGGGAGAUCCCCCACACUGGUACUGAGACACGGACCAGACUCCUACGGGAGGCAGCAGUGAGGAAUAUUGGACAAUGGGCGCAAGCCUGAUCCAGCCAUGCCGCGUGCAGGAUGACGGUCCUAUGGAUUGUAAACUGCUUUUAUACGAGAAGAAACACUGCUUCGUGAAGCAGCUUGACGGUAUCGUAAGAAUAAGGAUCGGCUAACUCCGUGCCAGCAGCCGCGGUAAUACGGAGGAUCCAAGCGUUAUCCGGAAUCAUUGGGUUUAAAGGGUCCGUAGGCGGUUUGGUAAGUCAGUGGUGAAAGCCCAUCGCUCAACGGUGGAACGGCCAUUGAUACUGCCAGACUUGAAU
This 537-nucleotide ribosomal RNA is filed under the name Flavobacterium sp. A23MG7. RNAcentral's name for it is "bacterial SSU rRNA". It matches the Rfam family "Bacterial small subunit ribosomal RNA", at positions 112 to 647 of the family's 1533-position model. The record is from RNAcentral. Lineage: Bacteria; Pseudomonadati; Bacteroidota; Flavobacteriia; Flavobacteriales; Flavobacteriaceae.